Molecule: long non-coding RNA, 532 nt
Organism: Calidris pugnax (ruff)
Lineage: Eukaryota; Metazoa; Chordata; Aves; Charadriiformes; Scolopacidae
Exons: 3
Source: RefSeq, a predicted model, not a curated record
AGCAACUCUUCUGCAGAUAUGAGCCCUGGGGGCACAGCAGGGCCUGAGGCUGACGUGAUGAGCAAGCUGUUGACAUGACUAAUAGGUUGAUUCAGACAAGACCCUUUUCAAAUCCUGGACCACAUGGGCUUUGAGUUUGGACUAAUGAAGAGCUUGCUACAGUUCCUUGAUGACAUGGGUCCACCGGAAAGAGUAUGAAAGAACAUUCACUUUAUGAGCACAAUUCUCCCGUCGGGGGCGGCUUUACUCAGUGCCCGAGGAAGGAGAAAAAGACCGGGCGAGAAACAAAGUUUGGGCGAGAAGCCAGCCGAGGAGCAGAACCUAUUCGCCUUUGGGGAAGUGUUUUUUCAGGGGGAAAUCGGCCUCAGCAGGUGGGAGAAAAGGCGCCACCCAACCUUCCCACGUCGGGACUCCGCGGGACUCGAGGGCCGGAGGAACCCGCGGAGGGGAAAGGGCGAGCACUGAAAACCGGGGGCGCGGAGACAUUCAUCCCCCUCUGGACAGGUUCUGCUUUCCUAGGCGUUUAAUCUCU